UACGUAGGGGGCAAGCGUUGUCCGGAAUCAUUGGGCGUAAAGAGCGUGUAGGCGGUCCGGUAAGUCGGCUGUGAAAGUCCAGGGCUCAACCCUGGGACGCCGGUCGAUACUGCCGGACUAGAGUUCGGAAGAGGCGAGUGGAAUUCCCGGUGUAGCGGUGAAAUGCGCAGAUAUCGGGAGGAACACCUAUGGCGAAGGCAGCUCGCUGGGACGUUACUGACGCUGAGACGCGAAAGCGUGGGGAGCAAACAGG
This 253-nucleotide ribosomal RNA is filed under the name uncultured bacterium. RNAcentral describes it as "partial 16S ribosomal RNA". It matches the Rfam family "Bacterial small subunit ribosomal RNA", at positions 524 to 776 of the family's 1533-position model. The record is from RNAcentral.